RNAcentral lists this transfer RNA (68 nucleotides) under Papuadytes sp. MB138. Its description in RNAcentral is "transfer RNA-Leu". Lineage: Eukaryota; Metazoa; Arthropoda; Insecta; Coleoptera; Dytiscidae. The record is from RNAcentral.
AUUACUUUGGCAGAUAAAGUGUAAUGAAUUUAGAAUUCAUAUAUGUNAAUAUAAAUUUACAAGUAAUA